This 947-nucleotide long non-coding RNA is filed under the name Ananas comosus (pineapple). RNAcentral's name for it is "long non-coding RNA (ACOM_LNC013040)". Lineage: Eukaryota; Viridiplantae; Streptophyta; Magnoliopsida; Poales; Bromeliaceae. The record is from RNAcentral.
AAGAAGAUCGUCGCAGAUCUCAGAGGCUAUGACGAUUCGACAAUUUUUUUUGCUGGAACAACUGUAAGUAUAAGGUUUUAUAAUAGUUGUGUUUUGUCUAUAGAGUGGGCUGGUAUGCUUAUGGAAGUACGGAGCUUUCGAUGCUUCCAAGUUGUUUUCGAUGUUCGGACUUUCGAAUCGACAAUCGGCUCUGUUAGACUUGAUCUAGAGUAUUUGAAGUAUCUAGAAAAUAAAUUUUGUGAUUUUUCGAUAUCAUUUGCCUAUUCGAUAUCAUUUGCCUAGUGAUCGAAGGGGCUCAAAAUUAAUAAUUUUAACGGCCGUGGUGAGCCGGUUGCAAGUUUAACGGUGUAAAAAUAUCCAAAUCACAUGAGUUUCGAAUCGAUGAUCGGCUCCGUUAGAGUUGAUCUAGAGUAUUUGAAGUAUCUAGAAAAUAAAUUUUGUAAUUUUUCGAUAUCAUUUGCCUAGUGAUCGAAGGGGCUCAAAAUCAAUAAUUUUAACGGCCGUGGUGAGCCGGUUGCAAGUUUAACGGUAUAGAAAUAUCUAAAUCACAUAAAAUUUUGAUAGAAAAUUCUUCAUACCAUAUAAAACAAGAUCAAUAACUUUGAUCUAAAAUUUUAAUGUCAUAUCAUCAUAUUUUGUAAGAUUUUUAUUUUCAGCCGUUGAUUUUGAGCCACUUCGAUCACUAGGCAAAUGAUAUCGAAAAAUCACAAAAUUUAUUUUCUAGAUACUUCAAAUACUCUAGAUCAAGUCUAACAGAGCCGAUUGUCGAUUCGAAAGUCCGAACAUCGAAAACAACUUGGAAGCAUCGAAAGCUCCGUACUUCCAUAAGCAUACCAGCCCACUCUAUAGACAAAACACAACUAUUAUAAAACCUUAUACUUACAGUUGUUCCAGCAAAAAAAAUUGUCGAAUCGUCAUAGCCUCUGAGAUCUGCGACGAUCUUCUUG